This 351-nucleotide unclassified non-coding RNA is filed under the name soil metagenome. RNAcentral describes it as "partial contains 5.8S ribosomal RNA, internal transcribed spacer 2, and large subunit ribosomal RNA". The stretch from base 1 to 120 matches the Rfam family "5.8S ribosomal RNA", at positions 35 to 154 of the family's 154-position model. The record is from RNAcentral.
GAUGAAGAACGCAGCGAAAUGCGAUAAGUAAUGUGAAUUGCAGAAUUCAGUGAAUCAUCGAAUCUUUGAACGCACAUUGCGCCCGCCAGUAUUCUGGCGGGCAUGCCUGUUCGAGCGUCAUUACAACCCUCAGGCCCCCGGGCCUGGCGUUGGGGAUCGGCGGAGCCCCCUUGGGCACACGCCGUCCCCCAAAUGCAGUGGCGGUCCCGCCGCAGCUUCCAUCGCGUAGUAGCUAACACCUCGCGACUGGAGAGCGGCGCGGCCACGCCGUAAAACACCCAACUCUUCUGAAGUUGACCUCGAAUCAGGUAGGAAUACCCGCUGAACUUAAGCAUAUCAAUAAGCGGAGGA